Molecule: small nuclear RNA, 191 nt
Organism: Myotis lucifugus (little brown bat)
Lineage: Eukaryota; Metazoa; Chordata; Mammalia; Chiroptera; Vespertilionidae
Gene: U2
Rfam family: U2 spliceosomal RNA
About the family: U2 is a small nuclear RNA (snRNA) component of the spliceosome (involved in pre-mRNA splicing). Complementary binding between U2 snRNA (in an area lying towards the 5' end but 3' to hairpin I) and the branchpoint sequence (BPS) of the intron results the bulging out of an unpaired adenosine, on the BPS, which initiates a nucleophilic attack at the intronic 5' splice site, thus starting the first of two transesterification reactions that mediate splicing.
Source: Ensembl
AUCGCUUCUCAGCCUUUUGGCUAAGAUCAAGUGUAGUAUCUGUUCUUAUCAGUUUAAUAUCUGAUACGUCCUCUAUCUGAGGACAAUAUAUUAAAUGUAUUUUUGAAGCUAGGAGUUGGAAUAGGAGCUUGCUCCAUCCACUUCACACAUCGACCCGGUAUUGCAGUACCUCCGGGAACGGUGCACACACA